Molecule: ribosomal RNA, 422 nt
Filed under: uncultured bacterium
Lineage: Bacteria
Description: bacterial SSU rRNA
Rfam family: Bacterial small subunit ribosomal RNA
Source: RNAcentral
AACGAACGCUGGCGGCAGGCCUAACACAUGCAAGUCGAACGCCGUAGCAAUACGGAGUGGCAGACGGGUGAGUAACACGUGGGAACGUACCUUUCGGUUCGGAAUAACUCAGGGAAACUUGAGCUAAUACCGGAUACGUGCGAGAGCAGAAAGAUUUAUCGCCGAAAGAUCGGCCCGCGUCCGAUUAGCUUGUUGGUGAGGUAAUGGCUCACCAAGGCGACGAUCGGUAGCUGGUCUGAGAGGAUGAUCAGCCACACUGGGACUGAGACACGGCCCAGACUCCUACGGGAGGCAGCAGUGGGGAAUAUUGGACAAUGGGCGAAAGCCUGAUCCAGCCAUGCCGCGUGAGUGAUGAAGGCCUUAGGGUUGUAAAGCUCUUUUGUCCGGGAAGAUAAUGACGGUACCGGAAGAAUAAGCCCCGG